UACCUAUUAACACCCUUAAUUGCCCUUUUGCUUUUUUUAAAUUACACUAACAAUUGCCCAUUUUGGUAAUUUGCUAAAUCAAUCUUCUUAUAAACCAAUCAUAUAUACCCAUUAGUCCAAGUGGCACCCCCAUUUUCAAAUUUUCAUAACUUUAUCAAACACCAUUUUAAUAUCAUUUCCUUUAACCAUUGUGUAAUACGAAUUAUGAAGAACUUAUCUUUACCCGGGAUACAAAGCUGGGUCACUUUUGUUUUUAAUAUUUCUCUCUCUUUUCCCUUUCACAUUCAUUCUUUCUCAACCAUUCUCUCUCAUUACAGGGUCUGCAAGCGCCGAAAGUCUUCCUCACCGUCAUAUCUCCGUUUUCUCGCCAAAGCCACCGCUAUACCAACCAUGCCCUUUUUCUCUUCUUCGUCUUCUUCUUCAUUUUCUUCACCAUCACUGCCGAACUGUUCCGUUUUCUCUCAUUAAGGUUCUAUCAAAGUAAUGAACUCCCAUCAUCGUUGCACCCAGAAAUCAUCAUCCUUUCACCUCUGAACUUGCUUCCAAACAUGUCAAGGCCUCAUAUAACAAUUUGCGACUUGCUGCCAGAACAAAACGUAUGGAAAAUUGUGGUUCAUGUAGUCGACAUUUGGACCGUCAAGGAACGUGAUGGUUUCAUUCCCAAGUGGAAGAUUGACGACGUCCUUCCGAUUCAAGGAUCCCUUUUGAAUAUUGUUAUGAUAUGAGUCCUGAUGCAAAUACUAGCCUGUUACCUAGCAUGAGUUUAACUAUGUGAGGUGGGAGCCGCUUUGCUGUUUAUGAUCCAAUAAUUAUCAUCUCUAUGCAGAUAACUUCAGGACUGGUUACCGUGUUGUUUUCGACCGGGAAAACUCACAUUGGAAUGAAAGAAAUCUGAUUGCUAUGACAUUAAGGAUCAUAACAAUGUUGUCCCAGCAAGACCACAGUCAGACACUGUGCCUCCCGCAGUCGCGGCUCGGCUUGGCCAUUACCAUGCCCCUGAUUCAAGUAAAAAUUCCAAAUACGAAUCUCAACAGUGAAAUGCAUCAUCGUCGCUGCUGCUUUAAAGCCACACUUUGCUUUUGACUUGCUUUGGCUUUCUAAUUUCUUGUAUUUGGUUUAAUUUAUAUGUUGUAUUAUCAUUCUUUUGCAUGAGCCGUUGAUAGUAUAUGAUAAAUUCAGCUCAUAUAAUGAUCUGCAUGUUGAUAUUAUAGCACCAUUCAUUUCCGUGCUUUAUAACUUACUCUAUAGUUUAGUUGUAUAGUUUGUGAAUAUGAUAGUCUGUUUAUUACCCGUUUUUGCAUGGAGCUCAGUGUUGUGUCUAGCAUGUUGCUUGACCCAAUUUGACCAAUCAACAAGGAUAAGGUCUGAAUUUGUCAUAUCCUUGGCUGGCGAAGAGUUUUCUCAAGCCAACAAUAAAUAUGGUGGUAAACCAAGGCAUGUUUUGGUUGAUAGAAACAUUGAUUUACCCUUCUACUGACUUUCAUCCUGCAGCUUAUAUUCUUCCUAACUUGAUUUUUAUACAUAUGGCAGGCCUAAUUUCUUCUUUAAUUGAGGAGCAGAUGAAUAUUCAAACACAUCUUAGAUUCCUAGAAAUGACA
Molecule: long non-coding RNA, 1598 nt
Organism: Vicia villosa (hairy vetch)
Lineage: Eukaryota; Viridiplantae; Streptophyta; Magnoliopsida; Fabales; Fabaceae
Exons: 7
Source: RefSeq, a predicted model, not a curated record